RNAcentral lists this ribosomal RNA (505 nucleotides) under uncultured bacterium. RNAcentral's name for it is "partial 16S ribosomal RNA". It matches the Rfam family "Bacterial small subunit ribosomal RNA", at positions 28 to 507 of the family's 1533-position model. The record is from RNAcentral.
GACGAACGCUGGCGGCGUGCCUAAUACAUGCAAGUAGAACGCACAGUUUAUACCGUAGCUUGCUACACCAUACACUGUGAGUUGCGAACGGGUGAGUAACGCGUAGGUAACCUGCCUGGUAGCGGGGGAUAACUAUUGGAAACGAUAGCUAAUACCGCAUAAUAUUGAUUAUUGCAUGAUAAUUGAUUGAAAGAUGCUAUUGCAUCACUACCAGAUGGACCUGCGUUGUAUUAGCUAGUAGGUGAGGUAACGGCUCACCUAGGCGACGAUACAUAGCCGACCUGAGUGGGUGGUCGGCCACACUGGGACUGAGACACCGCCCAGGCUCCUACGGGAGGCAGCAGUAGGGAAUCUUCGGCAAUGGACGAAAGUCUGACCGAGCAACGCCGCGUGAGUGAAGAAGGUUUUCGGAUCGUAAAGCUCUGUUGUAAGAGAAGAACGGGUGUGAGAGUGGAAAGUUCACACUGUGACGGUAUCUUACCAGAAAGGGACGGCUAACUACGUG